CAGCCGCCACGGGAAUACGAAGGGUGCAAGCGUUACUCGGAAUUACUGGGCGUAAAGCGUGCGUAGGUGGUGGUUUAAGUCCGUUGUGAAAGCCCUGGGCUCAACCUGGGAAUUGCAGUGGAUACUGGGUCACUAGAGUGUGGUAGAGGAUAGUGGAAUUUCCGGUGUAGCAGUGAAAUGCGUAGAGAUCGGAAGGAACAUCUGUGGCGAAGGCGACUAUCUGGGCCAACACUGACACUGAGGCACGAAAGCGUGGGGAGCAAACAGGAUUAGAGACCCCCGUAGUCCCUGUCUCUUAUAC
Molecule: ribosomal RNA, 301 nt
Filed under: uncultured bacterium
Lineage: Bacteria
Description: partial 16S ribosomal RNA
Rfam family: Bacterial small subunit ribosomal RNA
Source: RNAcentral